This 514-nucleotide ribosomal RNA is filed under the name uncultured bacterium. RNAcentral's name for it is "partial 16S ribosomal RNA". It matches the Rfam family "Bacterial small subunit ribosomal RNA", at positions 28 to 523 of the family's 1533-position model. The record is from RNAcentral.
GAUGAACGCUGGCGGCGUGCCUAAUACAUGCAAGUCGAGCGAACAGAUGAGAAGCUUGCUUCUCUGAUGUUAGCGGCGGACGGGUGAGUAACACGUGGGUAACCUACCUAUAAGACUGGGAUAACUCCGGGAAACCGGGGCUAAUACCGGAUAAUAUUUUGAACCGCAUGGUUCAAUAGUGAAAGACGGUUUCGGCUGUCACUUAUAGAUGGACCCGCGCCGUAUUAGCUAGUUGGUAAGGUAACGGCUUACCAAGGCGACGAUACGGAGCCGACCGGGGAGGGUGAUCGGCCACACUGGAACUGUGACACGGUCCAGACUCCUACGGGAGGCAGCAGUAGGGAAUCUUCCGCAAUGGGCGAAAGCCUGACUGAGCAACGCCGCGUGAGUGAUGAAGGUCUUCGGAUCGUAAAACUCUGUUGUUAGGGAAGAACAAAUUUGUUAGUAACUGAACAAGUCUUGACGGUACCUAACCAGAAAGCCACGGCUAACUACGUGCCAGCCGCCGCCGUAA